GUGCUAGCUUUGGCAACACAUAUACUAAAAAACUAAAAUGAUACAGAGAAGAUUAGCAUGGCCCCUAUGCAAGGAUGACACACAAAUUCAUGAAGUGUUCCAUAUUUUU
RNAcentral lists this small nuclear RNA (109 nucleotides) under Dasypus novemcinctus (nine-banded armadillo). Lineage: Eukaryota; Metazoa; Chordata; Mammalia; Cingulata; Dasypodidae. The record is from RNAcentral.